Molecule: long non-coding RNA, 761 nt
Filed under: Brassica napus (rape)
Lineage: Eukaryota; Viridiplantae; Streptophyta; Magnoliopsida; Brassicales; Brassicaceae
Description: long non-coding RNA (BNAP_LNC013938)
Source: RNAcentral
UUCCAGUGAAUAUGUUUUACAACAUAUUAUUACCAGUUGAACUAGUUUCAUUCUUUUAUUUGUUAGUUCAACUCUAUGAUGGACCAAAUGGGCACACAAAAAUCUGGUCAUCUAAAUUAUUAAAGUUGGAGCGGGUAAUUUAACCACAGCUCCAAAAAUGAAGCAAGGCCGAAUAACAACAUAUGCCCAGAAACAAGAUUUCAACUUUUAUGAAAUUGCAGUUCCUUUGUGUAGGUGACUACAACUCCAAUAUGUUUUCAUUUUUUCUGGCAUUUGGAAAAUUCUGUUUCUCCUUAUUUCAGGAAGUCAUUUAAGUAGCUCAGUCAGACAUUUAAAUAACAGUUUUUCACUAAAUUUAUAAAGUAUAUACAUUUGUUUCUUUGUGCAUGAUAUAGCUAAAUGACCACAUUGAGAAUGACCACAGAAGUAGAGUAUUAAAAACAAACAAAUCCCGCAGUAACAAAUUAUUUGCUUAGAUACUGAUGGGACUAGCACCAUACCAAUCAUCGUCUAUUCUCCUAUAGAAAAGCCUUCAAUGGCCUACCAAUAACAGCUACGUUAUCUCCCUUCUUUAUAAAACUUUUUAACACUAACUUUAUUAUUGCAUAAAGAAAAAUCACAAACCCAACACAAUCAAAAUACCAAUAACUUAAAUCUUAAAUCUUAAAAUAAGCAACUUACAAAUUAAAAUCGACCAGUUCUCCUUUUUUGCUAACCAUUCAAAUAAAACCAGAAAACAAAUAUCUCAUAACAAUCAGGUC